AGAGUUUGAUCCUGGCUCAGAACGAACGCUGGCGGCAGGCUUAACACAUGCAAGUCGAACGCGUGUAGCAAUACACGAGUGGCGCACGGGUGAGUAACACGUGGAUAUCUGCCUUUUGGUUCGGGAUAACCCUGGGAAACUAGGGCUAAUACCGAAUGGUUCCUACGGGAUAAAGAUUUAUCGCCAAAAGAUGAGUCCGCGUCCGAUUAGCUAGUUGGUGAGGUAACGGCUCACCAAGGCGACGAUCGGUAGCUGGUCUGAGAGGACGAUCAGCCACACUGGGACUGAGACACGGCCCAGACUCCUACGGGAGGCAGCAGUGGGGAAUAUUGGACAAUGGGGGCAACCCUGAUCCAGCCAUGCCGCGUGAGUGAUGAAGGCCUUCGGGUUGUAAA
This 395-nucleotide ribosomal RNA is filed under the name uncultured bacterium. RNAcentral describes it as "bacterial SSU rRNA". It matches the Rfam family "Bacterial small subunit ribosomal RNA", at positions 8 to 429 of the family's 1533-position model. The record is from RNAcentral.